GACGUAGGGCGCGAGCGUUGUCCGGAUUUAUUGGGCGUAAAGAGCGUGUAGGCGGCCAGAUAAGUCCGCUGUGAAAUCUCGAGGCUCAACUUCGAGCUGUCGGUGGAAACUGUCUGGCUAGAGUCCGGAAGAGGAGAAUGGAAUUCCUGGUGUAGCGGUGAAAUGCGCAGAUAUCAGGAAGAACACCCGUGGCGAAGGCGGUUCUCUGGGACGGUACUGACGCUGAGACGCGAAAGCGUGGGGAGCGAACAGG
RNAcentral lists this ribosomal RNA (253 nucleotides) under uncultured bacterium. RNAcentral describes it as "partial 16S ribosomal RNA". It matches the Rfam family "Bacterial small subunit ribosomal RNA", at positions 524 to 776 of the family's 1533-position model. The record is from RNAcentral.